AGAGUUUGAUCAUGGCUCAGGAUGAACGCUAGCGACAGGCCUAACACAUGCAAGUCGAGGGGCAGCAUUUCUAGCUUGCUAGAAGAUGGCGACCGGCGCACGGGUGAGUAACGCGUAUGCAACCUACCUUAUACUGGGGGAUAGCCCAGAGAAAUCUGGAUUAAUACCGCAUAAUAUGCUUGAAUCGCAUGGUUUAAGUAUUAAAACUCCGGUGGUAUAAGAUGGGCAUGCGUAGCAUUAGUUAGUUGGUGAGGUAACGGCUCACCAAGACAGUGAUGCUUAGGGGGUCUGAGAGGAUAGUCCCCCACACUGGUACUGAGACACGGACCAGACUCCUACGGGAGGCAGCAGUGAGGAAUAUUGGUCAAUGGGCGCAAGCCUGAACCAGCCAUGUCGCGUGCAGGAUGACGGCCCUAUGGGUUGUAAACUGCUUUUUUACAGGAAUAAUUGUUGCUACGUGUAGUGAUUUGAAUGUACUGUAUGAAUAAGGAUCGGCUAACUCCGUGCCAGCAGCCGCGGUAAUACGGAGGAUUCGAGCGUUAUCCGGAUUUAUUGGGUUUAAAGGGUCCGUAGGCGGCUUUUUAAGUCAGUGGUGAAAUCCCAGAGCUCAACUCUGGAACUGCCAUUGAAACUGAAAAGCUUGAAUGUGGGUUGAGGUAGGCGGAAUACGUUAUGUAGCG
RNAcentral lists this ribosomal RNA (680 nucleotides) under uncultured bacterium. RNAcentral's name for it is "bacterial SSU rRNA". It matches the Rfam family "Bacterial small subunit ribosomal RNA", at positions 8 to 680 of the family's 1533-position model. The record is from RNAcentral.